Molecule: ribosomal RNA, 391 nt
Filed under: uncultured bacterium
Lineage: Bacteria
Description: bacterial SSU rRNA
Rfam family: Bacterial small subunit ribosomal RNA
Source: RNAcentral
GACGAACGCUGGCGGCGUGCUUAACACAUGCAAGUCGAACGGUAAGGCCCUUCGGGUACGACGAGUGGCGAACGGGUGGAGUAACACGUGGUGAUCUGCCCUGCACUUCGGGAUAAGCCUGGGAAACUGGGUCUAAUACCGGAUAGGACCAUGGACUUCACGGUUUGUGGUGGAAAGCUUUUGCGGUGUGGGAUGGGCCCGCGGCCUAUCAGCUUGUUGGUGGGGGUAAAUGGCCUACCAAGGCGACGACGGGUAGCCGGCCUGAGAGGGUGUCCGGCCACACUGGGACUGAGAUACGGCCCAGACUCCUACGGGAGGCAGCAGUGGGGAAUAUUGCACAAUGGGCGCAAGCCUGAUGCAGCGACGCCGCGUGAGGGAUGACGGCCUCGGG